Molecule: ribosomal RNA, 431 nt
Filed under: uncultured bacterium
Lineage: Bacteria
Description: partial 16S ribosomal RNA
Rfam family: Bacterial small subunit ribosomal RNA
Source: RNAcentral
CCUACGGGGGGCUGCAGUCGAGAAUCUUUCGCAAUGGGCGCAAGCCUGACGAAGCGACGCCGUGUGAGCGAAGAAGGCCUUCGGGUUGUAAAGCUCUUUCGCUAGGGAACUGGUACUUGGUAAAGAAGCACCGGCUAACUCCGUGCCAGCAGCUGCGGUAAUACGGAGGGUGCAAGCAUUGAUCGGAAUUACUGGGCGUAAAGGGCGCGUAGGCGGUAAGAAAAGUCAGAUGUGAAAUGCCGGGGCUCAACCCCGGAGCUGCAUUUGAAACUUUCCAACUAGAGGUAGGUAAGGGAAAACAGAAUUCCACGUGUAGCGGUGAAAUGCGUAGAGAUGUGGAAGAAUACCGGUGGUGAAGACGGUUUUCUGCCUAACCUGACGCUGAGGCGCGAAAGCUAGGGGAGCAAACAGGAUUAGAUACCCUUGUAGUC